Molecule: ribosomal RNA, 513 nt
Filed under: uncultured bacterium
Lineage: Bacteria
Description: bacterial SSU rRNA
Rfam family: Bacterial small subunit ribosomal RNA
Source: RNAcentral
UUGGGUUUAAAGGGAGUGUAGGCGGUUUGUUAAGCGUGUUGUGAAAUUUAGAUGCUCAACAUUUAACUUGCAGCGCGAACUGUCAGACUUGAGUACACGCAACGUAUGCGGAAUUCAUGGUGUAGCGGUGAAAUGCUUAGAUAUCAUGAAGAACUCCGAUUGCGAAGGCAGCAUACGGGAGUGUAACUGACGCUUAAGCUCGAAGGUGCGGGUAUCGAACAGGAUUAGAUACCCUGGUAGUCCGCACAGUAAACGAUGGAUGCCCGCUGUUAGCGCCUGGCGUUAGCGGCUAAGCGAAAGCAUUAAGCAUCCCACCUGGGGAGUACGCCGGCAACGGUGAAACUCAAAGGAAUUGACGGGGGCCCGCACAAGCGGAGGAACAUGUGGUUUAAUUCGAUGAUACGCGAGGAACCUUACCCGGGCUUGAAUUGCAGAGGAAGAAUUUAGAGAUAAWGACGCCCUUCGGGGUCUCUGUGAAGGUGCUGCAUGGUUGUCGUCAGCUCGUGUCGUGAG